RNAcentral lists this ribosomal RNA (700 nucleotides) under Cytobacillus firmus. RNAcentral's name for it is "bacterial SSU rRNA". It matches the Rfam family "Bacterial small subunit ribosomal RNA", at positions 32 to 715 of the family's 1533-position model. The record is from RNAcentral. Lineage: Bacteria; Bacillati; Bacillota; Bacilli; Caryophanales; Bacillaceae.
AACGCUCCGGGGGUCCCUAAUACAUGCAAGUCGAGCGGACAGAUGGGAGCUUGCUCCCUGAAGUCAGCGGCGGACGGGUGAGUAACACGUGGGCAACCUGCCUGUAAGACUGGGAUAACUCCGGGAAACCGGGGCUAAUACCGGAUAAUUCUUUCCCUCACAUGAGGGAAAGCUGAAAGAUGGUUUCGGCUAUCACUUACAGAUGGCGCCGCGGCGCAUUAGCUAGUUGGUGAGGUAACGGCUCACCAAGGCAACGAUGCGUAGCCGACCUGAGAGGGUGAUCGGCCACACUGGGACUGAGACACGGCCCAGACUCCUACGGGAGGCAGCAGUAGGGAAUCUUCCGCAAUGGACGAAAGUCUGACGGAGCAACGCCGCGUGAGUGAUGAAGGAUAUCGGAUCGUUAUACUCUGUUGUUAGGGAAGAACAAGUACCGGAGUAACUGCCGGUACCUUGACGGUACCUAACCAGAAAGCCACGGCUAACUACGUGCCAGCAGCCGCGGUAAUACGUAGGUGGCAAGCGUUGUCCGGAAUUAUUAGGCCUAAUGCGCGCGCAAGCGGUUCCUUAAGUCUGAUGUGAAAGCCCCCGGCUCAACCCGGAAGGGUCAUUGGAAACUGGGGAACUUGAGUGCAGAAGAGAAGAGUGGAAUUCCACGUGCGAUGGUGAAAUGCGUAGAGAUGUGGAGGAACACCAGUGG